This 87-nucleotide transfer RNA is filed under the name Muribaculaceae bacterium. RNAcentral's name for it is "tRNA-Leu". It matches the Rfam family "tRNA". Rfam says of the family: Transfer RNA (tRNA) molecules are approximately 80 nucleotides in length. The record is from RNAcentral. Lineage: Bacteria; Pseudomonadati; Bacteroidota; Bacteroidia; Bacteroidales; Muribaculaceae.
GCCCGAAUGGUGAAAUGGUAGACACGAGGGACUUAAAAUCCCUUGACUAUUGCAGUCGUGCGGGUUCGAGUCCCGCUUCGGGCACCA